This is a long non-coding RNA of Vidua macroura (Pin-tailed whydah), 190 nucleotides long. RefSeq lists it as uncharacterized. Lineage: Eukaryota; Metazoa; Chordata; Aves; Passeriformes; Viduidae. The transcript is spliced from 3 exons. The record is from RefSeq and is a predicted model, not a curated record.
GGGAAGUGAGCACCUCCUGUACCAUGACACCAGUGCAUGGGGCACUUGAGCUUCCUCUGAGCAAGCAAAGAAUUUUACUGUAAUGCUCUGUGUGGAAAAGAGGAUUAUUCUGAAAUAAGAAUCAUUGUCAUUAAAUUGAAUGCAGGACAUUGGACUUAAAUAAAAGAGAAAUGGAAAAACUCAAUAAAUC